GCAAGUCGAGCGCACUCUUCGGAGUGAGCGGCGGACGGGUUAGUAACGCGUGGGAACGUACCCUUCUCUACGGAAUAGCCUCGGGAAACUGAGAGUAAUACCGUAUACGCCCUUUGGGGGAAAGAUUUAUCGGAGAAGGAUCGGCCCGCGUUAGAUUAGAUAGUUGGUGGGGUAAUGGCCUACCAAGUCUACGAUCUAUAGCUGGUUUUAGAGGAUGAUC
RNAcentral lists this ribosomal RNA (220 nucleotides) under uncultured bacterium. RNAcentral's name for it is "partial 16S ribosomal RNA". It matches the Rfam family "Bacterial small subunit ribosomal RNA", at positions 57 to 305 of the family's 1533-position model. The record is from RNAcentral.